CAGCAGCCGCGGGAAUACGUAGGGUGCAAGCGUUAAUCGGAAUUACUGGGCGUAAAGCGUGCGCAGGCGGUUAUAUAAGACAGAUGUGAAAUCCCCGGGCUCAACCUGGGAACUGCAUUUGUGACUGUAUAGCUAGAGUACGGCAGAGGGGGAUGGAAUUCCGCGUGUAGCAGUGAAAUGCGUAGAUAUGCGGAGGAACACCGAUGGCGAAGGCAAUCCCCUGGGCCUGUACUGACGCUCAUGCACGAAAGCGUGGGGAGCAAACAGGAUUAGAUACCCCUGUAGUCCCUGUCUUUAUACC
RNAcentral lists this ribosomal RNA (301 nucleotides) under uncultured bacterium. Its description in RNAcentral is "partial 16S ribosomal RNA". It matches the Rfam family "Bacterial small subunit ribosomal RNA", at positions 509 to 808 of the family's 1533-position model. The record is from RNAcentral.